UACGUAGGGGGCAAGCGUUGUCCGGAUUUAUUGGGCGUAAAGAGCGUGUAGGCGGCCAGGUAGGUCCGGUGUGAAAACUCGAGGCUUAACCUCGAGAUGUCAUCGGAAACCAUCUGGCUAGAGUCCGGAAGAGGAAAGUGGAAUUCCUGGUGUAGCGGUGAAAUGCGCAGAUAUCAGGAAGAACACCAAUGGCGAAGGCAGCUCUCUGGGACGGUACUGACGCUGAGACGCGAAAGCGUGGGGAGCGAACAGG
Molecule: ribosomal RNA, 253 nt
Filed under: uncultured bacterium
Lineage: Bacteria
Description: partial 16S ribosomal RNA
Rfam family: Bacterial small subunit ribosomal RNA
Source: RNAcentral